UGGUCCUGGCCUUAAAGUCAGUUAUUACUCAACUUACACAUGCAAGUCUCCGCACCCCUGUGAGAACGCCCUCAAAUCCCUUUAGGGAUCAGGAGCUGGUAUCAGGCUCGACUCUCAGCCCACAACACCUAGCCACGCCACACCCACAAGGGUAUUCAGCAGUGAUUAACAUUGUUUAUAAGCGCAAGCUUGACCCAGUCAGAGUAAAUAGGGCCGGCAAAUCUGGUGCCAGCCGCCGCGGCCACACCACAGGCUCAAAUUGACCACCUACUCGGCGUAAAGCGUGAUUAAAGCUACCUUAAGCUGCAAUUAAACUGGAACUAGGAUGUUCAAACCCUGACCCCAGGAAACCCACGAACGAAAGUCAUUGCAACACAAACUACUUGACCUCACGACAGUUAGGACCCAAACUGGGAUUAGAUACCCCACUAUGCCUAACCGUAAACCUUAACUUACACCCAAAUCGCCAGGGAACUACGAGCAACGCUUAAAACCCAAAGGACUUGACGGUGCCCCAUUUCCACCUAGAGGAGCCUGUCCUAUAAUCGAUAACCCCCGCUUAACCUCACCACUCUUUUACCUCCGCCUGUAUAUCGCCGUCGUCAGUUUACCACGUGAGCGAUCUCAGUAAGCAAAAAGGCCAACCGCCAAAACGUCAGGUCAAGGUGCAGUUUAUGGAGUGGGAAGAGAUGGGCUACACUCUCUAAUAUAGAAAAUACGAAAGACUACCUAUGAAAUUUAGUCGGAAGGCGGAUUUAGUAGUAAAACGAGACAAGAGAGCUCGCUUUAACACGGCCCUGGGGUGUGUACACACCGCCCGUCACCCUCUUCGAACCCCAAAAAAAUAGUAUUUAACACCUUAUUAAACACAGAGAAGAGGCAAGUCGUAACAUGGUAAGCUUACCGGAAGGUGUGCUUGGAAA
Molecule: non-coding RNA, 923 nt
Filed under: Scinax boesemani (Boeseman's snouted treefrog)
Lineage: Eukaryota; Metazoa; Chordata; Amphibia; Anura; Hylidae
Description: partial 12S small subunit ribosomal RNA
Rfam family: Bacterial small subunit ribosomal RNA
Source: RNAcentral